Lonchura striata (white-rumped munia) is the source of this 561-nucleotide long non-coding RNA. RefSeq lists it as uncharacterized. Lineage: Eukaryota; Metazoa; Chordata; Aves; Passeriformes; Estrildidae. The record is from RefSeq and is a predicted model, not a curated record.
UGACACGCGGCGGAAUUGGGGGAUAAACACCAACUCUUGUGUUCUUCUCCUCUGUCGGGCAAAGCAACCUUAAUUUUCAGCCUCCUCUCCAGACUGCUCCGUGGGGGCUCCCUCCAGCCAGGACCAAAUGGGCAACGACCUUCAGCCGUGUCAGUGAAACCCUGCAGGGCCCCAGCACCUGGCUCCCAGCUAAAUGUCACUGCUAUUAUUGCUACUGUCACCUUUGGCAAGAGGCAAAUGGGAUUUUCAGGAUUAUUCCCCAUAAUUAUUCCAUGUGUGUGGAUUUUCAGCAUCCCCAGGACUCUGCAGCCACCUGGAGCAGUGGGAUGAGGCAAAAAGCCUGGGAAAGAGCUGGAGAAGAAUGUAAAUAAUUCUUUAUCUGUUUUUCACACUGUUUAUAGUUAAGUUCUAUCACUGUGCAUCAAGCACUGUGCACCAAUGCUGCGAGUUGUUUUCACUUCAGGACCAAUGGAUUUGGUCAUCACCAAUGGAAUUGAUCCUCACGAAGCUCUGUAUAAAAGAGCAGUGUACUUUAAAUAAAUCACAAUUUUACUCUCACAA